UGGGGAAUUUUGGACAAUGGGCGAAAGCCUGAUCCAGCCAUCCCGCGUGAGUGAAGAAGGCCUUCGGGUUGUAAAGCUCUUUCAGCCGGAAAGAAAUCGUGCAACUUAAUACGUUGUAUGGAUGACGGUACCGGAAGAAGAAGCACCGGCUAACUACGUGCCAGCAGCCGCGGUAAUACGUAGGGUGCGAGCGUUAAUCGGAAUUACUGGGCGUAAAGCGUGCGCAGGCGGUUUUUAAGCCAGAUGUGAAAUCCCCGGGCUCAACCUGGGAACUGCAUUUGGAACUGGAAGACUAGAGUAUAGCAGAGGGAGGUAGAAUUCCACGUGUAGCAGUGAAAUGCGUAGAUAUGUGGAGGAAUACCGAUGGCGAAGGCAGCC
RNAcentral lists this ribosomal RNA (378 nucleotides) under uncultured bacterium. Its description in RNAcentral is "bacterial SSU rRNA". It matches the Rfam family "Bacterial small subunit ribosomal RNA", at positions 355 to 726 of the family's 1533-position model. The record is from RNAcentral.